CUUCACUCAGCUCUGAAAUUGCCCAAUGGGAUCCCACCCUGCUCAAAGCAAUAGGAAUAAAGCAUAUAAGCGUACUGCAGAGUAAUAGAAAAACAUCCGUCUAGAAAGCUGUAAAUAGAGAAAACCACUCUUGCCUGUCCCCACCCUAACACAUUUACAGAAAACAACUACCCUGUGACUGCCUUGAAGGACCACCAGCAAUUAUUAUGAACUAUUAAAGCUGCACUUCACUGCAGGAAAGUGAACUCAUAACACUGGAGUUUAGGACAUGAAAAGGAUGCAAGGAGAGAAGAGAGACGAGAGGGAGAGAAUUCAAAUGGUAGAGACAAGCAGAAGGCUCAAGGGCACACUCUGAUGACGGUGACAGUGGGGAAUAUGAGAUUAUUGCCACCCUCCGGAAUGACAACACAGCAACAGUUCACAGAAUGCUAAGGCAAGGGUAUCCCUUGUUCACCAGUCCCAAUGAGAGCCUUGCCUACAGAAGAUGAGGAGUCCAUAUGACAGGUACUCCACCUAUUGGGCUGCUCAGAGUGAACUCACCUGUUAUAUUGUUCGUCCGUGAUUUUAGGAAGAUGGGUUACUGCUUACCCUUUCUGUUAUGAACCUCGAUAUGUGACAAUCAUGGAGAACAAGAUGGGCAGGGACCAGUACUGCCCCAUACUGUGUAGCCAUAAUAACAAGCAUUUAAACUGCUCAAUUUUCCUAAUCCCUCAAUUUUGUAGUAUUACCAGUCACACCACAGGUCUAAAAUAUCCCUGGGAGUGAGAUAGGGUGACCAAAUGUCCCAAUUUUAUAGGAACAGUCCCAAUAUUUGGGGAUUUGUCUUAUAUAGGCGCCUAUUACGCCCUACCCCCAGUCCCGAUUUUUCACACUUGCUGUCUGGUCCCCCUAGAGGGAGAACACAGGCGAUGGCUGCUUCCCAAUGCAGGUCUCCCGAUUGUGCUCCCACCUGCACGGCCCACUCUCAAUAAGUGUUUCAGCAAUAGCUUAAAUUACGCUUUUAGAGAGUCUAACUGUGUGUUUGGAAAAACUUGUGUAUGGUGAAAUUUGUCCCAUGUCUAUCCAUUAAAGUAUUCACCAUGAUCACAACACAGAAUGCUUGUGCCGUGUCCCUCCUCUGCAUCACAAAUGCUGCUAAUCAACUCCAUUCCGCUAGUUUGCUAUAGAACGGAACUAAAAAGCCCUCACUGUAACUUUAGGGAUGCAAUUGCUUACAAUUAAGCAUAACUGCUACCCUGGCUAUGAAGUGAAUGAAUACUCAGGGUAAUCAUAGGGAUUUUUUUUUCCAUUCGUCUGUCCUGUAAUUAAAUUGAUUGUAAUGAACAAAAUGAGCUGGUGUAUCAUUAGAGCAGCUUCUGUCCCUGUGGAUACAUUCUGCCUCAAAAAUACCAAGAGCAAUAACUUCAUGGAAGGCAGACCUAGCUUCCUGCUCAGGCUAUUUUAUGGGGGCAGAGCGGACGUGGAUGUAGAGUAAGGGAAUGAGGAGACAGGGCCAUCACACUUCAUCUGGAUGAGGGCCACAUUGGCAGCCUGGCCAUGCUAAUUAAGAUAGUGCAUUACAAUCAGGAACUUGUAAUUUCCACAGACCUCACUUCUGCAUCAAAGAUGGUGGCAGCUGCAUCGCAGAACUACACAGACCACUUCUGCACAUAGAUCAAAGUGCAGCCUGUAGGUCAGAAGGACAAUGCC
This is a long non-coding RNA of Trachemys scripta elegans, 1689 nucleotides long. RefSeq lists it as uncharacterized. The record is from RefSeq and is a predicted model, not a curated record. NCBI's taxonomy places the organism in Eukaryota, Metazoa, Chordata, Testudines, Emydidae. The transcript is spliced from 4 exons.